GAUGUGGGCAGAAGAGAAGGUGUACCACCUCUCAUCCUGGUCCAGAAACCCCACGUGUGUGACCCCAGGCUCGUUUCUGUGCUCAGCUCUCCACUUGGAGUCACAUAUUGAAGAGAGUGGAGCCACAGGAUGGAGGAGCCCUGAAUAUUGCUUGGAGGAGCACCGCCCACAGGAAUAAAUUGAAGAAAUAAAUCCUCUAAAGAAACAUUGACCAAAAAAGAGAAAUGGAAAUGUAUAUUAACAAACUGAUUUGUACAAGAAUGUCGAUAGUAACUUUAGGAACAAAUCAUCUCACACUUGAAAAAACCCACAUGCCCAUCAAGAGAAGAAAAGAUGAAAAAUGUGUGAUAUUUUUUGAAUAGUGGAAUUAACCCUCAGCAAUUGAAAAGAUGAGCCAAGAGGUACCAGAGAGCUGCUUAGAGUUCUGGUGAACGAAACAUUUCUUGGUCACCUAGUAUAAGUGGAUUUAUCUUGAUAUGAAACAUACUGGCCCUUCUGCCCCCAAACACCUGAGCCUGGAGGUCCUGAGCCUGGAGGUCCUGAGCCCACCGUGAAUAUUUGGGCUGCUGGGAUUGUUGCAUCAGCCCAUGUGAAGUUGUAGGGUGGUAUGCUGCGAAUCCAGCUCUGUGACUUUGGCGAAUCCAAGUCCAUCCCUGAGAGACGGCUCUGCACAUUGAACACUAAGUAAUUGGUUUCUAAGCCUGGGAGGCUGGAAGCCAGAUCAGGCAGGUGGUACAUUCUUGUCAAAAAAUGCCGCUGGUAAGGCCUCCGGGAAACAACACCUGUUGUAGUCAUUACCUGUGUAAUGACUUGGGCAGAAUGCACUGUUUUCAGUGAUUUCCAAUUUCUUUCUUUAAAAUUUAAGUUUGCAGGAGAAGAAAAGCUCUGAUAAAGCUAGUGUCAUUGUGGAAAAGGAGCCCAACCUAACCUGCAAGUACGACGCUAUUCAAGCAGCUUUAACUCGAGCUAUGUUGCUGCUCUGAACCCAGGAGUUGCAUGAAUCUCCCCUUCAAGGUGUGGAUACCUUUGCAAAACACCUGUUCUCUAGAAGCACCUUAACCUCUAUUGAAGAGUUCAUUUUUGCGGAAAUGAAUCCGACUAGGAAUCAUGAGCUGUGGCCAAGUAGCACAUGAAAGAGAGAUGGAGGAUUUCCAAGCACCCAUUCAAGGCAACAUUCCUCACCAUAUUUCAAAUUCCAGAUGGGUGCUGUUGACAUCCGGGUCAUCAAAUGAGCAGGUCAGCAAGUGCUGAGGUCCAUCCACUUCCAGCUGACUGUAGCACGAGAAGGAGUAGUCGUCCGGCUCUGCGUCGUCAAAGUCUCCUGGGAAGGAACAAACCUACAGCUGUUAAUGAAGCCAAGAAAUGCUUCUUUUUGAAAUCUGGAGCGAUGUUGAUGAAAUGGCAGCCUUUUGUGGCAGAUGUGAAAGAGUGAUGAUUGUUUAUCUGAAGAAGGAAAGCUGGAGGGCAAAGGCAAUAAAUAGGAUUAAAAAAAAAUCGACACAAAACCUAGCGAGCACAGAUUUUUGCUGAUAGAAAAGAGUUAUCACGAUGAAUACAUAGCCUAGAAAGAUUUCCAAAUAUCUCUGCCAUUGAGUGCAUUAGAGCUCUAGAGUGAAAUAAUAAACAUACACUUUCUUUUGUA
Molecule: long non-coding RNA, 1642 nt
Organism: Phacochoerus africanus (Common warthog)
Lineage: Eukaryota; Metazoa; Chordata; Mammalia; Artiodactyla; Suidae
Exons: 5
Source: RefSeq, a predicted model, not a curated record